Molecule: ribosomal RNA, 538 nt
Filed under: uncultured bacterium
Lineage: Bacteria
Description: bacterial SSU rRNA
Rfam family: Bacterial small subunit ribosomal RNA
Source: RNAcentral
ACGUAAUAGAUACCCAGGUAGUCCACGCCCUAAACGAUGUCUACUAGUUGUUGGUGGAGUAAAAUCCAUGAGUAAACGCAGCUAAACGCGUGAAGUAGACCGCCUGGGGAGUACGGUCGCAAGAUUAAAACUCAAAUGAAUUGACGGGGGCCCGCACAAGCGGUGGAUUAUGUGGAUUAAUUCGAUGCAACGCGAAAACCUUACCUGGCCUUGACAUGUAACGAACUUUCCAGAGAUGGAUUGGUGCUCGAAAGAGAACGUUAACACAGGUGCUGCAUGGCUGUCGUCAGCUCGUGUCGUGAGAUGUUGGGUUAAAGUCCCGCAACGAGCGCAACCCUUGCCAUUAAUUGCCAUCAUUUAGUUGGGCACUUUAAUGGGACUGCCGGUGACAAACCGGAGGAAGGUGGGGAUGACGUCAAGUCCUCAUGGCCCUUAUGGCCAGGGCUUCACACGUAAUACAAUGGUCGGUACAGAGAGUUGCCAACCCGCGAGGGGAGCCAAUCUCAGAAAGCCGAUCGUAGUCCGGAUUGUAGUCUGC